CUUUGCAUUAAGCACGUGUAUAACCAAAUAACUGCAGUUAAUUCAGUUCCUUUGUUAUCAGGUUCACAAGUCAACUUUUGUAUGUGUGUGUCUUUCUCUCUGUCUCUCUCUCACUGGUCUUUGUGUGUUUGGCUAUUGUGUCUGUUUGUCUAUCUGUUUCUACACCACAAUAUGACAGUGUCCAGUCAACAGUCCAUAAGACAGACAGUGACAAACAAUCUAUAAUUUGAUGAAGGCCCAGUUCCAUUAGAUUAGUGCG
This is a non-coding RNA of Pelobates cultripes (western spadefoot toad), 259 nucleotides long. The record is from the annotation of a GenBank genome assembly. Lineage: Eukaryota; Metazoa; Chordata; Amphibia; Anura; Pelobatidae.